UUGCUGGACUCAGUUAAAAAAUGCCUUUAUUUUGUCACAAUUGCCUGAAAAACAUCAGUGGCCUCAGUGUUAACCCUGCCAACCCCUCUUUCCACAAAACAAA
Molecule: long non-coding RNA, 103 nt
Organism: Sapajus apella (tufted capuchin)
Lineage: Eukaryota; Metazoa; Chordata; Mammalia; Primates; Cebidae
Exons: 4
Source: RefSeq, a predicted model, not a curated record